RNAcentral lists this non-coding RNA (361 nucleotides) under [Enterobacter] lignolyticus SCF1. The record is from RNAcentral. Lineage: Bacteria; Pseudomonadati; Pseudomonadota; Gammaproteobacteria; Enterobacterales; Enterobacteriaceae.
GAGUCGCACAGCGAAGUGAACAUCAGGAUGAUGACGCUUCACAAGGAUUCGCCAGGAUGGCGCUUCAGGGAAAGGCUUCAGGAUGAAGCGAAUGGAUGAUGCAGGAUGCGUCAGAAGGACACCUCCAGGAAGGAGAACGAGAGCCGGUCAGGAUGCCCGGUGGAUCAGGAAGAUCGGGACACGCUUAAGGAUAAGCGCAAUCACAUCGGGGUGGUGUGAGCAGGAUGCAGCUGUUUAUGGAUGAACGGGUCAGGAGACCACAGGAAAAGUUGUCAAGGAUGAGCAGGGAGCACCAAAAGUAGCCGGACUGCUGCGAAACGAACCGGGGAGCACUGUUAACUCAGUGCUCCCUUUUUUUAUU